GGGCACGUAGCUCAGCGGUAGAGCGCUCGCUUAGCAUGCGAGAGGUCGUGAGUUCGACUCUUACCCUGUCCA
Transfer RNA from Dacryopinax sp., 72 nucleotides. It matches the Rfam family "tRNA". From Rfam's summary of the family: Transfer RNA (tRNA) molecules are approximately 80 nucleotides in length. NCBI's taxonomy places the organism in Eukaryota, Fungi, Basidiomycota, Dacrymycetes, Dacrymycetales, Dacrymycetaceae. The record is from Rfam.